RNAcentral lists this long non-coding RNA (867 nucleotides) under Meleagris gallopavo (turkey). RNAcentral's name for it is "lncRNA (ENSMGAG00000018271.1)". Lineage: Eukaryota; Metazoa; Chordata; Aves; Galliformes; Phasianidae. The record is from RNAcentral.
AUGUCAACCCAGUUAAGAGCCACAAAGAUGUUGGUAAAGAGGAAGCAGUGUGCCGGUGUGAGUCCUGGAGUGGGAUGGGUGUUGACUGAAGUGAUGGUGCACCUUCUAGCAAAUAUUCAUAGAAUCACAGAAUGGCCUGAGUUGAACAGGACCACAAUGAUCAUCCAGCUUCAACCCCCCUGCUAUGUGCAGGGUCAUCAACCAUCGGAUCAGGCUGCCCAGAGCCACAUCCAGCCUUGUGGGACAUCCACAACCUCCUUGGGCAACCUGUUCCAGUGUGUCCACCCACCCUCCUGUGUAGGAAAACUUACCUCCUGAUAUCUAACCUAAACCUCCCCUGUCUCAGUUUAAGACCAUUCUCCCUUGUCCUAUCACUAUCCACCCUCGUAAACAGCUCGUACCCCUCCUGUUUAUAAGCUCCCUUCAAGUAUUGAAAGGCCAAAAUGAGCUCUCCCCAGAGCCUUCUCUUCUCCAAAGAACAAAGAAAUUAGAAUAAAACAAAUAAUAAUAAUAAUAAUAAUAAUAAUAAUAAUUAAAAAAUUGAAUUAAACCUCCCCCCAACCAUUUGCAACCGUUUUAAAUCUGAUUGCUCUGUAUGUUUUGAGGUGAGAAUUGACACCAAGUUAUAAGAAGCCAAUUUCAUGCUUUUUCAGCUGAUUGUUGGUUAGGAGAAUGGUAUUCCUGGUGGCUUACUCUGUUCUUUUGGCAAUACUUUCUGUGCUGCAAGAUGCUUCUCCUUCAAGACCUCUCUAAUUGUGCCUGCACAGAGAGUUCCCUUUGGAAGGGAACUCAGAGGGCUGUCCAGUUAGACCUGCUCAAAGUGGUGUUUUCUCUUUAAAAAAAAAUAAUAAAUAAAAGUGUGUGUGU